Molecule: ribosomal RNA, 434 nt
Filed under: uncultured bacterium
Lineage: Bacteria
Description: partial 16S ribosomal RNA
Rfam family: Bacterial small subunit ribosomal RNA
Source: RNAcentral
AGCGAACGCUGGCGGCAGGCCUAACACAUGCAAGUCGAACGAACCUUUCGGGGUUAGUGGCGGACGGGUGAGUAACACGUGGGAACGUGCCUUUAGGUUCGGAAUAACUCAGGGAAACUUGUGCUAAUACCGAAUGUGCCCUUCGGGGGAAAGAUUUAUCGCCUUUAGAGCGGCCCGCGUCUGAUUAGCUAGUUGGUUGAGGUAAUGGCUCACCAAGGCGACGAUCAGUAGCUGGUCUGAGAGGAUGAUCAGCCACAUUGGGACUGAGACACGGCCCAAACUCCUACGGGAGGCAGCGGUGGGGAAUCGUGCGGAAUGGGCGAAAGCCUGACGCAGCCAUGCCGCGUGAAUGAUGAAGGUCUUAGGAUUGUAAAAUGCUUUCACCGGGGACGAGAAUGACGGGACCCGGAGAAGAAGCCCCGGCUAACUUCGUG